UUGUGGUUAAUGAGAACAUAUUUAGUACUGUUCGGGAGUUCGCUUUUUUUGUACCUCCUAUGCCCUGGUAAUGCCGAGUUUAUCAGCCAGUUCCUGAGAAAUUAAAUUCACUUGUGAUCCGGAAUCGAAUACAGCGCGGCAUUUGUGACGUGCUUCGGUAGGACCUUGAACUUCCACUUGCGGUUGCUAGUAGUACAUAAGGUGUUGUAAGUUGGCAGGUUGUGGAUGCGCUUGUUCGCGUGGACGUAUUAUGCAGCAUUGACUUGAGAACCUAGAUUUGCAUGAGUUAACUGCAUGGUAUAGGGUGUAGUAUGCACAUAUAUUGAAUACCCACUUGUAAUGGUCACCUGUGCUGCCAAUUCGAGUUUCAAAAAAAUUAGAUUAGAAUAACGUCUAAUCUUAACGAAACUCUCCACUUUUAUCGAUAGGUGUUAGCAAUUUUUUUUGUUUUAUUCAUUCCUAAUGUGCAUACUAGGCGUUCGUACUUACCUUGACAUUAGCCCUAGCAGCUUUUUAGGUGCCUUCAAAAGUCUUUUUCUUUUUUGAGCUGUCAAACUAAGCAGAUGCACACCUUAGUACCAGCUACAACAUAUAUAUAAAUCAAGUGGGUGAAACACGUGCAAAUUGAUCACAACAAAAUAAAACAAAUUAAAUCUGAAAAAUCCCCACACAUCAUUGGGCAAAGAAGUAAAGCAAAGACAUCAUUAAAGUCGCAAACAAACCUAGCCUGGGAUCAGGCGUCUUCUAUGGCCGAAAAUCCACGAGAGUCCCACCCGCACCACCUGGAUUCCAUACCUGGAUCAUUACACAUAGUUUUUAUCAGGAUGAGUAACCCUAUCAAAAAUAAAAAAACACCCACUUAGUUUAUCCCGUCUACAUUUAUUCGCAAAUCAAUACAGAUACACCGGAUAGGAGAAAUUUCGGAUAUCACCUAUAAAUAUAAAACGAUAUCAAAGUAUACAAUAGCGAACGAGAGUCGCCUUCCAAUCGUUUAUUACAUUUCUGUUGUUGUUCACAAACACAAAAAUUAAAUUACAUUAAAAUAUUACGAACUUAUAUUGAACUAGAAAUU
This is a long non-coding RNA of Drosophila ananassae, 1072 nucleotides long. RefSeq lists it as uncharacterized. NCBI's taxonomy places the organism in Eukaryota, Metazoa, Arthropoda, Insecta, Diptera, Drosophilidae. The transcript is spliced from 2 exons. The record is from RefSeq and is a predicted model, not a curated record.